AGCAGCCGCGGUAAUUCCAGCUCCAAUGGCGUAUAUUAAAGUUGUUGCAGUUAAAAAGCUCGUAGUUGAAUUUCGGGACCAAUCUGCCGGUCGUGCCUCCGGUAUGCACUGGUUUUAUUGGUUUCUCCCUUCUGACGAAUCAUGAUGUCAUUAAUUUGGUGUCAUGGGGAAUCAGGACUGUUACUUUGAAAAAAUUUAGAGUGUUUAAAGCAGGCUCACGCUUGAAUACAUUAGCAUGGAAUAAUGAAAUAGGACGUUUGACCCUAUUUUGUUGGUUUCUAGGAUCGACGUAAUGAUUAAUAGGGAUAGUUGGGGGCAUUAGUAUUCAAUUGUCAGAGGUGAAAUUCUUGGAUUUAUUGAAGACUAACUACUGCGAAAGCAUUUGCCAAGGAUGUUUUCAUUAAUCAAGAACGAAAGUUAGGGGAUCGAAGACGAUCAGAUACCGUCGUAGUCUUAACCAUAAACUAUGCCGACUAGGGAUCGGAUGAUGUUAUUUUUUAAUGACUCAUUCGGCACCUUA
Molecule: ribosomal RNA, 520 nt
Filed under: uncultured Glomus
Lineage: Eukaryota; Fungi; Glomeromycota; Glomeromycetes; Glomerales; Glomeraceae
Description: SSU rRNA
Rfam family: Eukaryotic small subunit ribosomal RNA
Source: RNAcentral